CAAUAGCGUAUAUUAAAGUUGUUGCAGUUAAAAGCUCGUAGUUGGAUUUCUGCCAGGGUGCCAAUGUCCGCCGAAGUGCGUGCGCAGCGGCGCCCUCGCAUCCUUCUGUUAACGCCUCUCGGCAUUUACUUGCCGGUGGUGGGCUCAGAUAAUUUACCUUGAGAAAAUUAGAGUGUUUCAGGCAGGCUAGGCCGGAAUACAUUAGCAUGGAAUAAUGGAAUAGGACUACGGUCUCGUUGUUGGUUUGAGGGACUGGAGUAAUGAUUAAUAGGGAUGGUUGGGGGCGAUUAGUAUUUAAUUGUCAGAGGUGAAAUUACUUGGAUUUAUGAAGACUAACUACUGCGAAAGACAUUUGUCCAAGGAAUGUUUUCUAUUAAUCAAGAACGAAAGUUAAGGGGAGUCGAAGACGAUCAGAUACCAU
This 421-nucleotide ribosomal RNA is filed under the name uncultured eukaryote. RNAcentral describes it as "SSU rRNA". It matches the Rfam family "Eukaryotic small subunit ribosomal RNA", at positions 592 to 1018 of the family's 1831-position model. The record is from RNAcentral.